AUUGAACGCUGGCGGCAUGCUUUGCACAUGCAAGUCGAACGGUAACAGGCCGCAAGGUGCUGACGAGUGGCGAACGGGUGAGUAAUGCAUCGGAGCGUGCCCAGUCGUGGGGGAUAACGCAGCGAAAGCUGUGCUAAUACCGCAUACGAGCUAUGGAUGAAAGCGGGGGACAGCAAGGCCUCGCGCGAUAGGAGCGGCCGAUGUCAGAUUAGGGAGUUGGUGGGGUAAAGGCCUACCAAGCCGACGAUCUGUAGCUGGUCUGAGAGGACGACCAGCCACACUGGGACUGAGACACGGCCCAGACUCCUACGGGAGGCAGCAGUGGGGAAUUUUGGACAAUGGGCGCAAGCCUGAUCCAGCAAUGCCGCGUGCAGGAAGAAGGCCUUCGGGUUGUAAACUGCUUUUGUACGGAACGAAACGGUCUGGGUUAAUACCCUGGGCUAAUGACGGUACCGUAAGAAUAAGCACCGGCUAACUACGUGCCAGCAGCCGCAGUAA
RNAcentral lists this ribosomal RNA (498 nucleotides) under uncultured bacterium. RNAcentral describes it as "partial 16S ribosomal RNA". It matches the Rfam family "Bacterial small subunit ribosomal RNA", at positions 29 to 523 of the family's 1533-position model. The record is from RNAcentral.